UCUCAUGUAGCUCAAUGGUAGAGCAGUUGAUUGCAGAUCAAAAGGUCAUGGGUUCGAUUCCCAUUAUGAGUU
Molecule: transfer RNA, 72 nt
Filed under: Magnetococcales bacterium
Lineage: Bacteria; Pseudomonadati; Pseudomonadota; Magnetococcia; Magnetococcales
Description: tRNA-Cys
Rfam family: tRNA
About the family: Transfer RNA (tRNA) molecules are approximately 80 nucleotides in length. Their secondary structure includes four short double-helical elements and three loops (D, anti-codon, and T loops).
Source: RNAcentral